Molecule: ribosomal RNA, 359 nt
Filed under: uncultured bacterium
Lineage: Bacteria
Description: bacterial SSU rRNA
Rfam family: Bacterial small subunit ribosomal RNA
Source: RNAcentral
AGGGUUUGAUUCUGGCUCAGGACGAACGCUGGCGGCAUGCCUAACACAUGCAAGUCGAACGGAGUUGUUAUACAGAAGUUCUUCGGGAUGGAAGUAUAAGAACUUAGUGGCGGACGGGUGAGUAACGCGUGGGUAACCUGCCCUUUUGUGGGGAACAACUUCGAGAAAUCGGAGCUAAUACCGCAUAAUAAUAGAGAAUCGCAUGAUUCUUUAAGGAAAGAUGGCCUCUGAAGAUGCUAUCGCAAAAGGAUGGACCCGCGUCUGAUUAGCUAGUUGGAAGGGUAACGGCCUACCAAGGCGACGAUCAGUAGCCGGCCUGAGAGGGUGAACGGCCACAUUGGGACUGAGACACGGCCCAA